GAUGAACGCUGGCGGCGUGCUUAACACAUGCAAGUCGAACGGAAAGGCCCAAGCUUGCUUGGGUACUCGAGUGGCGAACGGGUGAGUAACACGUGGGUGAUCUGCCCUGCACUUCGGGAUAAGCCUGGGAAACUGGGUCUAAUACCGCAUAGGACCACUUCUUGGAUGUUGUGGUGGAAAGUUUUUUCGGUGUGGGAUGAGCUCGCGGCCUAUCAGCUUGUUGGUGGGGUAAUGGCCUACCAAGGCGUCGACGGGUAGCCGGCCUGAGAGGGUGUACGGCCACAUUGGGACUGAGAUACGGCCCAGACUCCUACGGGAGGCAGCAGUGGGGAAUAUUGCACAAUGGGCGCAAGCCUGAUGCAGCGACGCCGCGUGGGGGAUGACGGCCUUCGGGUUGUAAACUCCUUUCGCUAGGGACGAAGCGUUUUGUGACGGUACCUGGAGAAGAAGCACCGGCUAACUACGUG
RNAcentral lists this ribosomal RNA (467 nucleotides) under uncultured bacterium. RNAcentral's name for it is "partial 16S ribosomal RNA". It matches the Rfam family "Bacterial small subunit ribosomal RNA", at positions 28 to 507 of the family's 1533-position model. The record is from RNAcentral.